CCGCAACGGUUUUAACCGCUAUAGAGCGAGGAGGACUGUUCUUCACUUGAGUAAUAGGCCCAAGUGUUGCAGUGUAUUUGUACAAAAGCCUACUUAACCCAAGUAAAUCAGUAAAGGACAUGUGAAGGAAUCUCUGCAGUACAGGGGCACGGGUACGCUGAGGAGUAUCAGAGAACAUCAAGAACAUAAAGAACAUAUGAAGUAAGGGAAGGAGGAGGACAUUUAUCCCCUCAAGCCUUCCCCACCAUUCUAUAAUCAGGGCUGAUCUCUCCCAAGCCUCAACUCCUCUUCCAUUUCUCAUCGAUUUCAAUUGCUUGAUAUUUCAAAAAAAAAUUACCUCUCUUUUAAAUACUUUGUGAUCUAGUCUCCAAAACACCAAAACAGAAGGUAGAGAAUUCACUACCUUCUGUGAAAUAACUCCACAGAGGUUGGCAUCCAGUCACUAAGUCACCGUUAUUUACACGUGGAGAGUCCUUGACACUGAUCCAGCUCCCUCACAACCAGCUCUCA
This is a long non-coding RNA of Rhincodon typus (whale shark), 510 nucleotides long. RefSeq lists it as uncharacterized. NCBI's taxonomy places the organism in Eukaryota, Metazoa, Chordata, Chondrichthyes, Orectolobiformes, Rhincodontidae. The transcript has 3 exons. The record is from RefSeq and is a predicted model, not a curated record.